Long non-coding RNA from Macrobrachium nipponense, 1086 nucleotides. RefSeq lists it as uncharacterized. NCBI's taxonomy places the organism in Eukaryota, Metazoa, Arthropoda, Malacostraca, Decapoda, Palaemonidae. The transcript has 3 exons. The record is from RefSeq and is a predicted model, not a curated record.
GUGUAGUUCGUGGUGCGUUGAAGUGUUCAAUCUAAAGAGGUGGGAGGUUGACUCUCUGGGUCAGUUCUGGAAAAAUUUCUAAAUUGGAGCGAUGGCAGUUUUAGAGACUGCUUCUAUAAAAGGAAGUGUAAUUCGAUGUGACUGCUUGGUUCUGAGCGCUGCAAUACUGAAGAGGUUUGGUAACUAUUCCAGGAACUUCAAUAAUUCUGACCAUGAAGGAUCAUUCUUCAAAAUUUCUACUGCUUGGAAUUUGUGACUACUUAUAAGGGCUCGUGUGCCUCGUGCUGACGGAGAUUUGGUUGGAAUCUUGCAACUGAUCUACUUCCAAUAAGUUAAUCUAGAAUUUCACUGCUAUAUAUUGUCUCUGAUGAUAAUUUUUUAAUGUAACAUUUGGAAAUUUUAGUUCUACUCGCACUGAAUGUUGCAACUAUAGUUACAAAUUACUGUACCAAAAUUUUUUCUUUAAACUUUUUUUUUUUUUAUAAUAAACCAGUAUUACUCGUAUUGUUUUGCAUCGUUUAAGUGUGUAGUAUUUUAAGUGUUUUACAAAUUAUUUUAACUUUUAUUUUAUAUUAAACCAGUAUUACUCGUAUUGCUUGGCAUCUUUUAAGUGUAGUAUUUUCAGUGAUUUACAAAUUAUUUUUAAAAAUAAAUUUGAGUAUCUUGGUUCUCAUAAUUUAUUUCUUGGCAUACUGUAAGUAUCUUAUUUACUAAUGUUUUUAAAUAUAGGUACUUUGAAAAUCGGAAUUUGCCAAAUCUGGGGUGCAAAAUACUGUAUUUAUGCACUUUGAAAACCACAGAAUUUGUCAAAACUGGCGUGCAAAAUGCUGUUUUAAACUUAUAAUUUUCUCUAUAGUAAAAUUAAAGUUAAGGAGUAUGCAUUUAUGUAAUAUUUUCUGGUUCUGACUGAAAAUUUUCACAAAUUUCACUGAAGAUUGUCACAAAUCUUCCAGUUUAUUCACUUUUUUUUUUAUGUACAGAUUUUUAUAAAUUGAUAACUCAAUACUUUGUAAUCGGUCGUUCAGUAGUGUUAUUUUAAUGACCCUUCUUUCACUUCCUGAGGAUUUAAUAAAAUUGAUAGUUUUA